GACGAACGCUGGCGGCGUGCUUAACACAUGCAAGUCGAACGGAAAGGCCCUGCUUGCAGGGUGCUCGAGUGGCGAACGGGUGAGUAACACGUGGGUGAUCUGCCCCUUACUUUGGGAUAAGCCUGGGAAACUGGGUCUAAUACUGGAUAGGACCGUGCUGUAGGUGGUGUGGUGGAAAGAUUAGUUUCGGUAAGGGAUGAGCUCGCGGCCUAUCAGCUUGUUGGUGGGGUAAUGGCCUACCAAGGCGUCGACGGGUAGCCGGCCUGAGAGGGUGGACGGCCACAUUGGGACUGAGAUACGGCCCAGACUCCUACGGGAGGCAGCAGUGGGGAAUAUUGCACAAUGGGCGCAAGCCUGAUGCAGCGACGCCGCGUGGGGGAUGACGGCCUUCGGGUUGUAAACUCCUUUCAGCCAUGACGAAGCCCUUGUGGUGACGGUAGUGGUAGAAGAAGCACCGGCUAACUACGUG
RNAcentral lists this ribosomal RNA (469 nucleotides) under uncultured bacterium. RNAcentral describes it as "partial 16S ribosomal RNA". It matches the Rfam family "Bacterial small subunit ribosomal RNA", at positions 28 to 507 of the family's 1533-position model. The record is from RNAcentral.